CCUACGGGCGGCAGCAGUGGGGAAUAUUGCACAAUGGGCGCAAGCCUGAUGCAGCCAUGCCGCGUGUAUGAAGAAGGCCUUCGGGUUGUAAAGUACUUUCAGUCGGGAGGAAGGUGUCAAGGUUAAUAACCUUGGCAAUUGCUGUUACCGACAGAAGAAGCACCGGCUAACUCCGUACCAGCAGCCGCGGUAAUACGGAGGGGGGAAGCGUUAAUCGGAAUUACUGGGCGGAACGCGCGCGUAGGCGGUUGAUUGAGUCAGAUGUGAACUCCCCGGGCUUAACCCGGGAAUUGCAUCUGAUACUGGUCAGCUAGAGUGUUGUAGAGGGGAGUAGAAUUCCGAGUGUAGCGGUGAAAUGCGUAGAGAUGUGGAGGAAUACCGGUGGCGAAGGCGGCCCCCUGGAC
This 404-nucleotide ribosomal RNA is filed under the name uncultured bacterium. RNAcentral's name for it is "partial 16S ribosomal RNA". It matches the Rfam family "Bacterial small subunit ribosomal RNA", at positions 338 to 734 of the family's 1533-position model. The record is from RNAcentral.